UUAUUUAUUUUUUUGACAGCCCUUCUUCCCUUGGCUUCUUAACAAUUUCCUGAUAUCUAUGGGUGUUUCAACUGGAACACAUAUGUCUGAAGGUUCUAAAGCCAACACCACAAAUGAGAGAACACAUAGGACACUUGCUUUCUGGGUCUUGGCUAUCUCAGAGUGACUGCUUCCAGAUCCAUGAAUUCACCUGUAAAUAUCCGUUACUACUUACUCCGUUUCCAAUGUAUUGUUAUUUGGAAUAUCUGUUCAUAAAACUUUGAAUAUUUAAUGUCUUAUAAUAUGUAGCACAGAUUUCCUUACAUGGAAAUAUCAUCUUGAUUUGUUUUUAACAUAUUUUAAGGUGAAUAUUUCACAACAUGUAUUGUAUAAUUGGGCAGAUUUCAUUAUGAUCAUCAUCAAUUCUUUUCUGCUGUGUUGAUUACUUUUCUGUUGCUGUGAUAAGACACAGUGACCAAGGCCCCAUAUAGAAGUGUAUUUGGGUAUAUGAUGUCCGAGGAUUAGAGUUGAUAAUGGCAGGGAGUGUGGCAGACAGCAGGUGUGAUGGUAGGAUCAGGAAGCUGAGAUCUCUCAUCUUGAACCACAAACAUGAGAGUGUGGGUCUUUUUUUUCCACGUGGAGAGGUUUAAUGGGAGGAGAGUAGAAUAGAGGCCGGCCAUGAGCACGUGGAGGAAAGGGAGGUGGGGUGGGAGAGAAGGGACAGGGACAAAGAGGGCAGGAGAGCGGGAGUAUAUAGUGUCAGGCACAGCUGGCUGUUGCCAGGCAACUGUGGGGCGGAGCAUACCCGGCUGUUGCCAGGUAGCUGUGGGGGUGGAGCUUAGACAGAAUACCAACAUUCUCCAGUUUUGGUUUAAUUAAAAAGGAAAAAUUAGCGGCGAUGGUGAAGCAUGAAUAGGGUCGUUGUGAUCUCUGACUAGGGUCUUUAAAUUCUUAAAUCUUGUCUCCAGGUGACAUACGUCUUCCAGUAAGGCCACACACAGCUCCUAAAUCUCCUUAAGCACUAUCACUUAUUGUCCAAGACUGUGAGUGGUAAUUUUAAUAUAAUUGUACGUAGUAAAUCAACACAGCAGCCAGUUCCCCAAUGAUGACACAGAGGGACCAAAAUUUAUUUUCAAGCUUCUCCUUAAUACCCGAGCAGUCAAUUAUCUGUUUUAAUCCCCAUAAUACUUGCAUUUAGGGCCUUUCAUGCUCCAGCUGAGCUCUCGUGUUGUCUCCUCCUUCCUCAACUUGUCUUCCACUUCUCUCGCCACCUCCUGACUGAUGAAAUCUCCACCGGGGAAGUGUCUGAUGACAUUGGCCAGGUUACCACACCAGAAGGAUAGGACUCCCUGUUCCUUGGGGAUGCGAACCACUCAGUCUGUGAUGCCCUUGUAUUGCCUGUCUGCUGUGAUUUGCUUGCUGGCGUGCUGCACGUGCAGCAGCAGCUUGACCUGCUCAAUGGGUGCUACCGUCACCUUGGAGACCGCCGCGGCCACUCAACCGGCCAAGAAGUCCUUAGCUAAGGACACAGCGGCAUCUGUCAUGUUGAAAGCAAAAAAGAAGAGGCAGGCAAAUGUGAGACAGGACUGGGUUGACAGCCGGCUUUGAUUCCUGUACUCUGGGGGUUAGGGGGAGUGAUCAGCUUUUAUUAACAAGGCAGAGAAUAAAUGGUAAGAAUUGUUUACACAAACUUGAGACAGGAGAUUCUUGACCUAAGCUUUACGAUGCAGUGUCCGGAUUGAAGCAAGGUAUGAGGGAGAGAAGUCAGCAUUUGAAUAACAUAAGAAUAAUCUUUGAAAGAUGCCCCAAAACAUUACGCCUAUACAAGACUAAGAGGGACAUUCUCAUUCAAACCACCACAUCCCUUCUCUGUCUCCUUUGUCUCUCCAUAUAUCACCAAGGUACUCCUUCUAAUCUCAGGCUAUUUUUAUCCGGAUUAAUAUUUUGGAUUGGUUUAUGGUUGCAAAUUCAACAUAGGUAAAAUUUGAAAUGUUGUGAUUAUAACAUUGCCAGGAUUUGUGUGUGCACAUGCAUUUGUUAGCAAAGAAAAAUAUAUAUGUUAAUAAAGCAUUCAUUAAAAAAGAGGAAGGAAGAAAAAGAACAAGUCAUUUCUUUAACACCUAUCUCCUCUUGUUUACUUAUGUAUGGGACAAUGUUAGCCUGGGUCUGGGAUUCAUAAACACUUUAAAAAAAAGAUUUAUUUAUUUACUUUAUGUACAUGAGGACACUGUAGCUCUCUUCAGACACCAGAAGAGGGCAUCAGAUCCCUUUACAGAUGGUCCUGAGCCUUCAUGUGGUUGAACUCAGGACCUCUGGAAGAGCGGUCAGUGCCCUUAACCACUGAGCCAUCUCUCCAGCCCCAUAAACAAGUUUUUAGUAGUUAUUAGUUUAGAUUUAGAUCAAAUGGGGCAGAUAAUACGCUUACAUUUCCCUGCAUACUGGGAAACAAUGGUAGGAUCCAGUGUUUAUAUCUGCACGUGUCUGUGCAUGUGUUUGUUUUUUUCUUGUUGUUCUGAACUUCUUUUCUGAGGAAAAUGGGGAAAAUAACUCAUGUGUUUUAGAUCUGUAAGGCUAACCAGCAGAUCACUAUUUCUAUGAUUGUCUCAAUCCCAAAUGUGGCAGCUGUUAAGCCAGAUUAGCUCAGACUUUGGAAAGCCCCUAAAUAUGCUCUUUUUUGCCCACCUCUCUGUUUGACCUAACUUCCUUGUGGCUACCAGGUAAAGGAAAAUACAGAUCACUUAUUUUCUACCAACUGAAAUGCCAACAAUGUCCUCACACACCUGAGGCCCUGCUUUGACAUAGGAUAGAUUUGAACUUAGAGCCCUACAGAUGUUAGGCUAGCUCUCUGCCAUUGAAUUGUAGCUCUAAUAGGAUUUUUUUUGAAAUAACCAUUACUCUUUUCAUUACAUUCCUCUUCCCUAAAACUGUCUUUCAGGUUUUCUUAGAGUUGUUUGUGUGAUUUGCUCCGUAACUAUUUUGAUUACCCAUGCAAGGAAGCUGCUAGGUAAUUUGUCUGGGCUAUGAGAUUCCUUCAAAAGCUCGCUCUCUCUCUCUCUCUCUCUCUCUCUCUCUCUCUCUGUCUGUCUUUUACUGUCUCUAUUCACUUUAAAGACACCAGACAUUUUCUGUACUGAAUUGCUGUCUCCUCCUCUAAACUCCCACACAGCACAGACAUUGUAACCACAGGGGAUUUUAUGUGACCAGACAUGCUGUGCAGCCACUGACUGAACACAUCCUGCUAAGGAGCUGUUUCAGCUACAGCUGCUCUUCUGAGCUGCAAAGACCCUUUCUAAGCUGAGAGAGAUCACCAUGUCUAGGCUCUGUAAUGGUGGGAUCCAGCCUCACAUAUGGAAAGUCUAUUCUCUCUGGCUUUAUGAUGUGUAUACCACUAAUAUCCAGAAUUUUAGUGAGGCAGUCAUUUGUUCUUGCUUGUUAAUAGCACUCCCUGUGUGAGGUUUACAUACAAAUCAUCUGAACAAUCACUGGGACCCUAUAACACGGUCACUGUCAUUGAUCCAACUCUGUUUACCCAUCCUUACCUCACCGGAUAGAGUCUUCUUGGUGAUAGUACCUAUCUCUAGGUUUCUGUCUUGUCAGUCUGUAUGAAUUUCUAUAAAUACGUUAGUGAGAGUGAUCAGUACACAUCUGGGAUCUCCAGAACGUAUGGGCUCGUAGAUGGGUUCAUGAGGUUUAGGAGUUACAGAACCUCACAGAAGGAAAAAGAACGCUUGGCCAAGAGGGAUUCCUAACAGAAGUGAUCGCACAAGCAGGCACCUGGAGAUGCGAAGAGAGGACACGACAGAUAAAUAGUUUUUCAGGCAGGAAACAGCUCCCAGCAAAACCAACUGUGGAGUAAAGAGUUUAAGAAAUGAAGACACAGUUGGGGAUUUAGCUCAGUGGUAGAGCGCUUGCCUAGCAAGCACAAGGCCCUGGGUUCGGUCCCCAGCUCCGAAAAAAAGAAAAGGAAAAAAAAAAAAAGAAAUGAAGACACAGGUUUUACAGUUUUGAUGGUGAAUAAGAAUGCUUUCCACAUGUAAUACAAGUCUAUGAAUAAUUAUUUUUUUUGCCAAUCACACAUCUCAGAAUAUCGUUUCAGUGUGGAUUAAAAAUAAUCAUUAACAAUGGACAGUGUUAUUUGCAAGUGGAACUAAAAAAAAGAAGAUUUUGUUGAAAACUUAUGCCCAUGAGGUAGACAUUUCUGGUUUAUAUUACAAUAAAAUUUAUUGUAAUAUUAGUCUUUUUAAAAAUGUGCAUACCGUAGGAGAAAAUUUUAAAAUUUUUGAUGUUUUCUUUAUAUUUAGACACUUCUGGUUUAUAUUAUUAUAAAAUUUAUUAUAAUACUAGUCUUUUAAAAACUUGCACAUACCUUAGGAGAAAAUCGUAAAACUUUUGAUGUUUUCUUCAUACUUAAUGAUAGUUUAAUUUUUGUUCAAAUCUAAGCAGACUUUUAAGUAUGAAAAUACCACAGAGUGAAAAAUCUGCUAUUCAGGGUUCUCUAAAGGAAAGGGACUGAUAGACUGGAUAUCUACAUAUUAAAAGACGAUUUAUUAGAGUAGCUUACAGGUGGUGGACUUCAGCCAAGACCCUAUUAAUCACUUAACUUCCAUAAAUCCCCACUGUAACCUGAGUGCUACAAUGUUUCCCAUCUGAGCCCUCUAACAUAGACAUGGAACUACAGGUUUUGGAAUUUGCCCUGUGGGUUUUGGUCUUGAUUUGGUCCAGCUUUUCCUCACUAUGUUGUAAUUUCUCCCCCUUUGGAAUGGAAAUAUGUAGUUGUUGCUAUGGCAAUUUGGAAGUACAUAAUUUGCUCUGAUUUUACAGGGAGUUACAAUUAAGAUAUUGCUUCAAGUUUCAGAAGAGACUUUGAACGUCAGACCUUUAAGCUAUGAUAAGACUGAAAUACUAUGGGGACAUUUGAAGUUGAACUGAAUGCAGUUUGCAUUAUGAUAAUGGCCAUGAGCCUUUGGAAGCCAGGGAGUGUAAUGUGGUGGUUUGAAUGAAAAUGGCUCCCAGAGGCUCAUGUUUGAAUACUUGGUCCCCAGUUGGUAGAACUGUCUGGGAAGGAUUAAGGUGCGGUCUUGUUGGAGGAGGAGUGUCACUAGAGGUGGACCAUUGAGGUUUCAAAAGAUUCAUCAUGUCAUUCUCAGUGGGCAUCUGGUUUCCUGCCUGCUGUUUGAGAUGUGAGCUCUCAGGUGUGUAUGCUGCCUUGUCUUCGCCCCAGCGUCAUGGACUCUAACCCUCUGAAACUGAGAAAAAUGGGCCAGAGUCAGUGGGAUCUGCAGUCCGCUAUCAUGCCGGAAGAUGAGGCCAGCAGGAAGCUAACGAAGCAAUGUUACUCCAGGGGAAUCACAAGGUAUCUCAAAUGGGUCAUAGACCAAGUAUAUAGUAUCCUUGGGAUUGAUAAUUCCAGUCUCUUCAGGGGGAAAAGCCAUGUUCUCAGGAAGAAAAACCUUGACCCUUCUAAAGGGGUCAGCUUCAGCCUCAGUUCCAGACAAGACCUUGACAAAUCUGUCCUGGGCAAGGACACAGAAGUACAUUUCUCCUCACCUUCUCUCAUCAGGGCCUCUGAGAAAGUUUACCUUCUCUUGGUUUCUGUUAGGUCAGUAGUUCUCAAUCUAUGGGUCGCGACCCCCUUUCAGGGGUCAAAUGAUUCUUUCAU
Molecule: non-coding RNA, 5638 nt
Organism: Rattus norvegicus (Norway rat)
Lineage: Eukaryota; Metazoa; Chordata; Mammalia; Rodentia; Muridae
Source: RefSeq, a predicted model, not a curated record